UACGUAGGGCGCAAGCGUUGUCCGGAAUUAUUGGGCGUAAAGAGCUCGUAGGCGGCUUGUCGCGUCGAUUGUGAAAGCCCGGGGCUUAACUCCGGGUCUGCAGUCGAUACGGGCAGGCUAGAGUUCGGUAGGGGAGAUCGGAAUUCCUGGUGUAGCGGUGGAAUGCGCAGAUAUCGGGAGGAACACCCGUGGCGAAGGCGGCCCCCUGGUUGGAUACUGACGCUGAGACGCGAAAGCGUGGGGAGCAAACAGG
RNAcentral lists this ribosomal RNA (253 nucleotides) under uncultured bacterium. Its description in RNAcentral is "partial 16S ribosomal RNA". It matches the Rfam family "Bacterial small subunit ribosomal RNA", at positions 524 to 776 of the family's 1533-position model. The record is from RNAcentral.